Molecule: ribosomal RNA, 499 nt
Filed under: uncultured bacterium
Lineage: Bacteria
Description: partial 16S ribosomal RNA
Rfam family: Bacterial small subunit ribosomal RNA
Source: RNAcentral
GACGAACGCUGGCGGCGUGCCUAAUACAUGCAAGUCGAGCGAAGUUUUUCUGGUGCUUGCACCGGAAAAACUUAGCGGCGAACGGGUGAGUAACACGUAAAGAACCUGCCUCAUAGACUGGGACAACUAUUGAAAACGAUAGCUAAUACCGGAUAAUAGCAUUAACUGCAUGGUUGAUGUUUAAAAGUUGGUUUUGCUAACACUAUGAGAUGGCUUUGCGGUGCAUUAGCUAGUUGGUGGGGUAAAGGCCUACCAAGGCGACGAUGCAUAGCCGACCUGAGAGGGUGAUCGGCCACACUGGGACUGAGACACGGCCCAGACUCCUACGGGAGGCAGCAGUAGGGAAUCUUCCGCAAUGGGCGAAAGCCUGACGGAGCAACGCCGCGUGAGUGAAGAAGGAUUUCGGUUCGUAAAGCUCUGUUGUUAGGGAAGAAUGAUUGUGUAGUAACUAUACACAGUAGAGACGGUACCUAACCAGAAAGCCACGGCUAACUACGUG